UGACAGUCGUGCUGAACCCGUUGGGCUGGGUGAGGGAUCCGUCCCAUAAAGGAAGCCCACGACCUUGAGUGCCCAAGCGGUGAGCACGGAUGUCAAGGACGGGAUACCUUGGAGGGCGUUCGUUCAUAGGGUCGUGUAUGUCGGAAACGACUUGACGGCACGUCGCAACGACAGAACCUUGAUUUUACACUGAUAAACACUCAACAUGACUUGCAGUUGCUCGUAUGAGUUUGGAGAUUUACCCAUGGCUGCCAAGCAUGCUGAUGUACAGUCCUCGCUCCGAAUGGAAUACAGCUCUGUUGAGAGGUAUUGCUGAUUUUAACGCAGCACAAGAUGACAACUCAAGAUUGGGAAAGCAGAGAGGGAAUAAAGAAUGCAGGCUCUCUCAAGACAUGGAUGGAUUUUUAAAAGUGGUGGCUACUUAGUUCCAGUACAUGCAGCACCUCUGAGAACAAGGACUUAGCUUUUAAUUAUGAAGGGGACUUGUAGCGAGUCAAAUCAUUGGCACUUCUAGAUCAAUACUAUCUGCACUCACUAAGAGUUUGUUAGGAGUUAAACAGGAAUCUUUCCCAGCCUAAUUUGGAAAUGUUAGAAUUUGACUCUGGGUUCUUUUGUAUGCAAAGGAUGUGGUCUUCUACUCAGCUAAAGUUCCAGGAAGAUCUGCAACUAUCACUAACACUUUUGUAAACUUAAUUAUUGGUUUCUGUAAUGUGUUUUGUAAGACUGCCUUUGAACAUUCUUUAGAAGCUUUUGCUAUUGCAAAAGUUUGCCCUUACAGAUGGCUGCUGACAGCUUAUCAGUCCAGUAUUAUCUGGGCCCAGUUUAAGGUGGCAGGCAUCUUAAAAACCCCUUAUGUGUAGCUGAAGGAGUGGAUUAUAUUAUCAUAGAAUCACAGAAUCAUAGAAUAGUACAAUUGGAAGGGGCCAGAAGCCCUUUGGGUUCAACCCCCUGCUAUGGCAGGACACUAACUUACACCAUUCCAUUCAGAUGAUUGUCCAAAUGCUUUCUGAGUAUCUCUAGUAAGGGAGAACCCACAACUUCCCCAGGUACUAGGUUGCAUUGUCAUACUGCUCUGACAGUGAGGAAGUUUUUCCUGGUGUCUAGU
Varanus komodoensis (Komodo dragon) is the source of this 1105-nucleotide long non-coding RNA. RefSeq lists it as uncharacterized. The transcript is spliced from 3 exons. NCBI's taxonomy places the organism in Eukaryota, Metazoa, Chordata, Lepidosauria, Squamata, Varanidae. The record is from RefSeq and is a predicted model, not a curated record.